This is a long non-coding RNA of Neofelis nebulosa (Clouded leopard), 613 nucleotides long. RefSeq lists it as uncharacterized. The record is from RefSeq and is a predicted model, not a curated record. The transcript has 5 exons. Lineage: Eukaryota; Metazoa; Chordata; Mammalia; Carnivora; Felidae.
CCUGUCAGCAGAGCCCGGAUCGCACUCCGCUUGCAAGUUGCAUCUGGGCACGAGCCUGUUGGUUCCGUCUGUCCAACGGCUUCCAGCUGCCCUCCUAACCCCGCACAGAUGUCUCACAAGCCGCGCUCCGCUCUUGGAGGGUGGACAGAGCAAGCAGGGCAAAUCCAUCACCCAACAACUUACAGCACAAGACCUGUGGAAGGUUUAUUCAAAAAUGAGAGCUGGAAUAUGGUCAUCUUCUUUACAUUUCUUUGUGCUUCAAGCAAUUGGACAAUGAGGAAAGGCUAAAGAACGAGGAACAAAAAGGUGUAGAACCUUCUAAGAAAUGAAAAUGCAGACAGCGUAUGCAACUAAAAUGAAGGACUGCAUUAUCAAAUUCAUGAGUUUUCAAAGAAGGAUUCGUUUAUGUCACCCUACUCAACGUACUAAAACAGAUUGUACAGUUCUUCCUGGGACCAAACAUCCCUUUAAAUCAAUAAGAAACAAAGCUCUAAUAAAGAACGCUGAAUCAGGCCCCUCACCACCGUACUAAUUAUGCAGAGAGCACCCAGCGAUGUUUACAGUGGACCUUUCCACGACCUGACCAUAACAUUAAACUCAGAGUCUAUUCCAG